This 70-nucleotide transfer RNA is filed under the name Craugastor fitzingeri (Fitzinger's robber frog). Its description in RNAcentral is "tRNA-Val". The record is from RNAcentral. Lineage: Eukaryota; Metazoa; Chordata; Amphibia; Anura; Craugastoridae.
CGAAGUAUAGCUUAAUGCAAAGCACCUUGCUUACACCAAGAAAAUGUUCGAUCACACAAACUGCUUCGUG